RNAcentral lists this ribosomal RNA (325 nucleotides) under uncultured eukaryote. RNAcentral's name for it is "partial 18S ribosomal RNA". It matches the Rfam family "Eukaryotic small subunit ribosomal RNA", at positions 1470 to 1796 of the family's 1831-position model. The record is from RNAcentral.
CCCUUAGAUGUCCUGGGCCGCACGCGCGCUACACUGAUGUAUUCAACGAGUUUAUAACCUUGACCGAUAGGUUUGGGUAAUCUUCGAAAAUUUCAUCGUGAUGGGGAUAGACUAUUGCAAUUAUUGGUCUUCAACGAGGAAUUCCUAGUAGACGUAGUUCAUCAGACUGCAUCGAUUACGUCCCUGCCCUUUGUACACACCGCCCGUCGCUCCUACCGAUUGAAUGCUCAGGUGAGCCAUUCGGACUUUCAUCAUGCUGGUUUCCAGUUUUGAUGAAGGAAAGUCUUGCGAACCUUAUCAUUUAGAGGAAGGAGAAGUCGUAACA